Molecule: ribosomal RNA, 119 nt
Filed under: Pteropus alecto (black flying fox)
Lineage: Eukaryota; Metazoa; Chordata; Mammalia; Chiroptera; Pteropodidae
Source: RNAcentral
GUCUACGGCCAUGCCACCCUGAACGUGCCAGAUCUUGUCUGAUCUCGGAAGCUCAGCAGGGUCAGGCCUGGUUAGUACUUGGAUGGGAGACCACCUAGGAAGACCAGGUGCUCUAGGCG